AAUGCGGUGGUUUUGUUAAUGUGACCUAGUCUCCCUCGACGUCACUGCACCGGAGCCGUUACAGAUUCAGCACCUUCUUUACGAACGAUUUUAUGAAAAGUAUAAUUCAGGCCUGUACAAAUGGAGAAGCAGGUUGUGGAUGGGUUGAGGGAGGUCUUCCAGUCGGGCAGAUCCAGACCCCUGCAGUACAGGAAACAGCAGCUCAGAGCCCUGCACAGGCUCAUCACUGAACACCAAGCAGACAUUGAACAAUCUCUAAAACAAGACCUCAACAGGAGUUCGUAUAACACUUCACUCUUUGAGCUGAUCGGCAUUGAGAGUGACAUCAAGUUGGCAGAGAGUGACAUGGCAGACUGGGCAGCUCCUCGGCACGUGAAGAAGAAUCUCAACAGCGCACUUGAUGAUGUUUACAUAAAGCCUGAACCUUUGGGUGUUGUGCUGAUAAUAGGAACCUGGAACUACCCUUGGGCCAUGAUCCUGCAGCCCCUCGUCGGAGCCAUUGCAGCUGGCAAUGCCGCUGUGGUGAAACCAUCAGAGCUGAGUGAGCACUCUGCUAGACUUAUGAAAGAACUGCUUCCUCUUUAUCUAGAUAAGGAGAUGUAUCAAGUGGUGACAGGAGGGGUUCCAGAGACCCAGGAGCUGCUGAAGCAGCGUUUCGACCACAUCUUCUACACUGGAAGCAGCGCUGUGGGGAAACUGGUUAUGGAAGCAGCAGCUCAUCAUCUCACACCAGUGACUCUAGAACUGGGUGGGAAAAGCCCUUGUUAUAUUGACAAGAACUGUGACAUUGCCGUGGCAUGCCGACGAAUAACCUGGGGGAAGUUUGCAAAUUGUGGUCAGACAUGCAUUGCACCUGACUACAUUCUGUGUGAGCCAAGCAUCCAGGAUAGGAUAGUUAAAGAGAUUCAAAAAACACUGCAGGAGUUCUACCAAGAGGACCCUAAAAGCUCUCCAGAUUAUUGCAGAAUCAUUAACACACGUCACUUUGACAGAGUAUUAGCUCUGAUGAACGAAUGUACAAUUGCUCUUGGAGGAAAGAGUGAUCGCUCAGAGUGUUACAUAGGUCCUACAGUCCUAAAGGAUGUUUUGCCCCAUUUCAAAAUCAUGCAAGAAGAAAUCUUUGGACCGCUGCUGCCAAUUCUCACUGUUAAUGGCUUGAGUGAGGCCAUCAAUUUUAUCAACACAAGGGAAAAGCCUUUGGCGCUCUAUGUGUUUUCCUCUGAUAAAACGGUGAUCAAACGAAUGUUAACAGAAACCACCAGUGGAGGAGUUACUGUUAAUGAUGUCUUGAUGCAUUAUACUGUCGAUACCUUGCCUUUUGGAGGUGUGGGAAACAGUGGAAUGGGCAGAUAUCAUGGGAGACACACGUUUGACCAGCUGAGUCACCAUCGUUCCUGCCUCAUCAAGUCUUUUGCUAUGGAGAGUUUAAAUGACGCCCGUUACCCUCCACUAACAGCAGCCCGACUGAGCAAGGCCAAGUUUUUCAUGCAGCAUCACUUGUGCAGUUGUAGUGGCGUGUGUGUGUGGGCUGUCAUCGCCACCAUAUUGGCAAUUGGUCUGCUUGUUGGCUUAAUAGUUGUGCUGAUUCAGGUAAAAGGUUUUACUGCUUGUACCAUGGCAUUGUUGAAUUCUUGAUUCUUAUAUGUUAACACACGUUCACGGGUGUUCAUUACUGUUUGAAUUACACCUACAUUAUAUUAGAAGCAUUUCUAAGCAAUUAGAUAUUUAUUCAGGGGAGGUUGGAGGCCUGAAAACGCAAACUUUGGAAAACGGGAUUCAAAAGUGCAAGUUUUUGUCAAUGAUACCGUUCUCGUCUCUGUGUAAACUACAAAAAAAAACAUGAAUUUGUGCGCAUGCGUAUUACAGGGCGUGUUCAGUCUAUAAGUGCGUGGUGUUUCUUUACAAAUUGACAUCGCCAACUACUGGCCUGGCAGAAUAAUUAGUCAUUUUCGCCGAUCCGUGUGAACGCUAGAUCGAGGGGACAACGUUGUCGUCUGUGAGCGAAAAACGCAAAGGAAAACUUUUUAGUACAUCGUUGUUGUGUAGGCUAGGCCUAAAUGUACCCUUAUUAUUGAAAAUCUAAUAGACAUCCAUAGU
This is an RNA transcript of Rhinichthys klamathensis goyatoka, 2097 nucleotides long. It is a transcript of the gene named aldehyde dehydrogenase 3 family, member A1, with no coding region annotated. The transcript is spliced from 11 exons. Lineage: Eukaryota; Metazoa; Chordata; Actinopteri; Cypriniformes; Leuciscidae. The record is from RefSeq and is a predicted model, not a curated record.